RNAcentral lists this ribosomal RNA (253 nucleotides) under uncultured bacterium. Its description in RNAcentral is "partial 16S ribosomal RNA". It matches the Rfam family "Bacterial small subunit ribosomal RNA", at positions 524 to 776 of the family's 1533-position model. The record is from RNAcentral.
UACGAAGGGAGCUAGCGUUGUUCGGAAUCACUGGGCGUAAAGCGCACGUAGGCGGAUUUGUAAGUCAGGGGUGAAAUCCCGGGGCUCAACCUCGGAACUGCCUUUGAUACUGCAAAUCUCGAGUCCGAUAGAGGUGGGUGGAAUUCCUAGUGUAGAGGUGAAAUUCGUAGAUAUUAGGAAGAACACCGGUGGCGAAGGCGGCCCACUGGAUCGGUACUGACGCUGAGGUGCGAAAGCGUGGGGAGCGAACAGG